RNAcentral lists this ribosomal RNA (235 nucleotides) under uncultured bacterium. RNAcentral describes it as "partial 16S ribosomal RNA". It matches the Rfam family "Bacterial small subunit ribosomal RNA", at positions 15 to 244 of the family's 1533-position model. The record is from RNAcentral.
GAUCCAUGGCUCAGGACGAACGCUGGCGGCGCGCCUAACACAUGCAAGUCGAACGAGAGAUGAGGAGCUUGCUCUUCAAAUCGAGUGGCGAACGGGUGAGUAACGCGUGAGGAACCUGCCUCAAAGAGGGGGACAACAGUUGGAAACGACUGCUAAUACCGCAUAAGCCCACGGCUCGGCAUCGAGCAGAGGGAAAAGGAGCAAUCCGCUUUGAGAUGGCCUCGCGUCCGAUUAG